RNAcentral lists this transfer RNA (67 nucleotides) under Paraleptophlebia submarginata. RNAcentral's name for it is "tRNA-Ser". Lineage: Eukaryota; Metazoa; Arthropoda; Insecta; Ephemeroptera; Leptophlebiidae. The record is from RNAcentral.
GAAAUGUGUCUGGACACGAAAAAGCUGCUAACUUUUUCUCUAGCGGUUAAACUCCGUUAUCAUUUCU